Molecule: ribosomal RNA, 420 nt
Filed under: uncultured Bacteroidota bacterium
Lineage: Bacteria; Pseudomonadati; Bacteroidota
Description: bacterial SSU rRNA
Rfam family: Bacterial small subunit ribosomal RNA
Source: RNAcentral
CAUGGCUCAGGAUGAACGCUAGCGGCAGGCUUAAUACAUGCAAGUCGAGGGGCAGCACGGGUAGCAAUAUCUGGUGGCGACCGGCGCMCGGGUGCGUAACGCGUAUGCAACCUACCUUUAACUGGAGGAUAGCCCCGAGAAAUCGGGAUUAAUACUCCAUAACAUUGUGAAAUGACAUCAUUAUACAAUUAAAGCUCAGGCGGUUAAAGAUGGGCAUGCGUGACAUUAGCUAGUUGGUGAGGUAACGGCUCACCAAGGCUACGAUGUCUAGGGGUUCUGAGAGGAUUAUCCCCCMCACUGGUACUGAGACACGGACCAGACUCCUACGGGAGGCAGCAGUAAGGAAUAUUGGGCAAUGGACGCAAGUCUGACCCAGCCAUGCCGCGUGAAGGAUGACGGCCCUACGGGUUGUAAACUUCU